This 403-nucleotide ribosomal RNA is filed under the name uncultured bacterium. RNAcentral's name for it is "partial 16S ribosomal RNA". It matches the Rfam family "Bacterial small subunit ribosomal RNA", at positions 30 to 526 of the family's 1533-position model. The record is from RNAcentral.
AUUGAACGCUGGCGGCAUGCCUAACACAUGCAAGUCGAGCGAGCGGCGGACGGGUGAGUUAUGUAUGGGGACUGCCCGCUCGAGGGGGAUAACUACUGGAAACGGUGGCUAUUACCCCAUCCUGUCGGUUAACCCUUAUGGGUUGAGUUAGUAGGUAAGGUAAUGGCUUACCUAGGGGACGAUCCCUAGCUGGUCUGAGAGGAUGAUCAGCCACACGGGGAAUGAGACACGGCCCAGACUCCUACGGAGGCAGCAGUGGGGAAUAUUGCACAAGGGGCGAAAGCCUGAUGCAGCCAUGCGGCGUGUAUGAAGAGGGCCCUAGGGUGGUAAAGGACUUUCAGUCGGGAGGCGUUACCGACAGAAGAAGCACCGGCUAACUCCGUGCCAGCAGCCGCGGUAAUUC